GGGGGUAUAGCUCAGCAGUAGAGUGCAUGCCUGGCAUGCACAAGAUCCUGGGUUCAAUACCCAGUACGUCCA
This is a transfer RNA of Camelus ferus (Wild Bactrian camel), 72 nucleotides long. It matches the Rfam family "tRNA". From Rfam's summary of the family: Transfer RNA (tRNA) molecules are approximately 80 nucleotides in length. Their secondary structure includes four short double-helical elements and three loops (D, anti-codon, and T loops). Further hydrogen bonds mediate the characteristic L-shaped molecular structure. tRNAs have two regions of fundamental functional importance: the anti-codon, which is responsible for specific mRNA codon recognition, and the 3' end, to which the tRNAs corresponding amino acid is attached (by aminoacyl-tRNA synthetases). tRNAs cope with the degeneracy of the genetic code in two manners: having more than one tRNA (with a specific anti-codon) for a particular amino acid; and 'wobble' base-pairing, i.e. permitting non-standard base-pairing at the 3rd anti-codon position. Lineage: Eukaryota; Metazoa; Chordata; Mammalia; Artiodactyla; Camelidae. The record is from Rfam.